GCGGGGUUAGCUCAACGGUAGAGCAGCUGGCUCAUAACCGGUAGGUUGUAGGUUCGAAUCCUACACUCCGCACCA
This 75-nucleotide transfer RNA is filed under the name Rheinheimera sp. Its description in RNAcentral is "tRNA-Ile". It matches the Rfam family "tRNA". From Rfam's summary of the family: Transfer RNA (tRNA) molecules are approximately 80 nucleotides in length. Lineage: Bacteria; Pseudomonadati; Pseudomonadota; Gammaproteobacteria; Chromatiales; Chromatiaceae. The record is from RNAcentral.